Molecule: ribosomal RNA, 133 nt
Filed under: Arostrilepis insperata
Lineage: Eukaryota; Metazoa; Platyhelminthes; Cestoda; Cyclophyllidea; Hymenolepididae
Description: partial 5.8S ribosomal RNA
Rfam family: 5.8S ribosomal RNA (bases 1-89)
About the family: 5.8S ribosomal RNA (5.8S rRNA) is a component of the large subunit of the eukaryotic ribosome. It is transcribed by RNA polymerase I as part of the 45S precursor that also contains 18S and 28S rRNA.
Source: RNAcentral
AUGUGAAUCGCAGACUGCUUUGAACAUCGACACCUUGAACGCAUAUUGCGGCCAUAGGCUUGCCUAUGGCCACGUCUGUCUGAGCGUCGGCUUAUAAACUAUCACUGCGCGUAAUAAGCGGUGGCUUGGGAGA